GACGAACGCUGGCGGCGUGCUUAACACAUGCAAGUCGAACGGAAAGGCCCUGCUCUUGUGGGAUGCUCGAGGGGCGAACGGGUGUGUCACACGUGAGUAACCUGCCCUUGACUUUGGUAACACCUCAGGAAACUGGGGCUAACACCGGAGAGGAGCUCCCGGCGCAUGGUGGGGGGUGGAGAUUUUCGGGGGUUGGGGAUGGUCUCGCGGCUUCUCAGCUUGUUGGUGGGGGAGUGGCUUACCAAGGCUUGGACGGGUCGCCGGCCUGAGGGGGUGACCGGCCACAUUGGGACUGAGAUACGGCCAAGACUCCUACGGGAGGCAGCGGUGGGGAUUAUUGAACAAUGGGCGGAAGCCUGAUGCAGCACCGCCGCGUGCGGGAUGACGGCCUUCGGGUUGUAAACCGCUUUCGCCUGUGACGAAGCGUGAGUGACGGUAGUGGGUAAAGAAGCACCGGCUAACUACGUG
This 468-nucleotide ribosomal RNA is filed under the name uncultured bacterium. Its description in RNAcentral is "partial 16S ribosomal RNA". It matches the Rfam family "Bacterial small subunit ribosomal RNA", at positions 28 to 507 of the family's 1533-position model. The record is from RNAcentral.